Molecule: ribosomal RNA, 1145 nt
Filed under: Escherichia coli
Lineage: Bacteria; Pseudomonadati; Pseudomonadota; Gammaproteobacteria; Enterobacterales; Enterobacteriaceae
Description: partial 23S ribosomal RNA
Rfam family: Bacterial large subunit ribosomal RNA
Source: RNAcentral
GCGACUAAGCGUACACGGUGGAUGCCCUGGCAGUCAGAGGCGAUGAAGGACGUGCUAAUCUGCGAUAAGCGUCGGUAAGGUGAUAUGAACCGUUAUAACCGGCGAUUUCCGAAUGGGGAAACCCAGUGUGAUUCGUCACACUAUCAUUAACUGAAUCUAUAGGUUAAUGAGGCGAACCGGGGGAACUGAAACAUCUAAGUACCCCGAGGAAAAGAAAUCAACCGAGAUUCCCCCAGUAGCGGCGAGCGAACGGGGAGCAGCCCAGAGCCUGAAUCAGUGUGUGUGUUAGUGGAAGCGUCUGGAAAGGCGCGCGAUACAGGGUGACAGCCCCGUACACAAAAAUGCACAUGCUGUGAGCUCGAUGAGUAGGGCGGGACACGUGGUAUCCUGUCUGAAUAUGGGGGGACCAUCCUCCAAGGCUAAAUACUCCUGACUGACCGAUAGUGAACCAGUACCGUGAGGGAAAGGCGAAAAGAACCCCGGCGAGGGGAGUGAAAAAGAACCUGAAACCGUGUACGUACAAGCAGUGGGAGCACAGAGCAAUCUGUGUGACUGCGUACCUUUUGUAUAAUGGGUCAGCGACUUAUAUUCUGUAGCAAGGUUAACCGAAUAGGGGAGCCGAAGGGAAACCGAGUCUUAACUGGGCGUUAAGUUGCAGGGUAUAGACCCGAAACCCGGUGAUCUAGCCAUGGGCAGGUUGAAGGUUGGGUAACACUAACUGGAGGACCGAACCGACUAAUGUUGAAAAAUUAGCGGAUGACUUGUGGCUGGGGGUGAAAGGCCAAUCAAACCGGGAGAUAGCUGGUUCUCCCCGAAAGCUAUUUAGGUAGCGCCUCGUGAAUUCAUCUCCGGGGGUAGAGCACUGUUUCGGCAAGGGGGUCAUCCCGACUUACCAACCCGAUGCAAACUGCGAAUACCGGAGAAUGUUAUCACGGGAGACACACGGCGGGUGCUAACGUCCGUCGUGAAGAGGGAAACAACCCAGACCGCCAGCUAAGGUCCCAAAGUCAUGGUUAAGUGGGAAACGAUGUGGGAAGGCCCAGACAGCCAGGAUGUUGGCUUAGAAGCAGCCAUCAUUUAAAGAAAGCGUAAUAGCUCACUGGUCGAGUCGGCCUGCGCGGAAGAUGUAACGGGGCUAAACCAUG